RNAcentral lists this ribosomal RNA (465 nucleotides) under Vreelandella stevensii. RNAcentral's name for it is "partial 16S ribosomal RNA". It matches the Rfam family "Bacterial small subunit ribosomal RNA", at positions 338 to 795 of the family's 1533-position model. Lineage: Bacteria; Pseudomonadati; Pseudomonadota; Gammaproteobacteria; Oceanospirillales; Halomonadaceae. The record is from RNAcentral.
UCUACGGGCGGCAGCAGUGGGGAAUAUUGGACAAUGGGCGAAAGCCUGAUCCAGCCAUGCCGCGUGUGUGAAGAAGGCCUUCGGGUUGUAAAGCACUUUCAGUGGGGAAGAAAGCCUUGGGGCUAAUACCCUCGAGGAAGGACAUCACCCACAGAAGAAGCACCGGCUAACUCCGUGCCAGCAGCCGCGGUAAUACGGAGGGUGCGAGCGUUAAUCGGAAUUACUGGGCGUAAAGCGCGCGUAGGCGGUCUGAUAAGCCGGUUGUGAAAGCCCCGGGCUCAACCUGGGAACGGCAUCCGGAACUGUCAGGCUAGAGUGCAGGAGAGGAAGGUAGAAUUCCCGGUGUAGCGGUGAAAUGCGUAGAGAUCGGGAGGAAUAACAGUGGCGAAGGCGGCCUUCUGGACUGACACUGACGCUGAGGUGCGAAAGCGUGGGUAGCAAACAGGAUUAGAUACCCUAGUAGUC